AUGGCCGCUGGCGACGGCGAGCCGGAGCCGGCGGUGCAGCAGCGCCCGCAGCUGCAGUCAAAGAACGUGUGCGUCGUGGGGGGCGGCAUGGCAGGCCUGGCGGCGGCGCGCGAGCUGCGGCGAGAGGGCCACGCGGUCACCGUCAUGGAGCAGAGCGGCGACGUCGGCGGGCAGUGGCUGUACGACCCGGCGCCCACCCGCGGCCUCGUGCCCAGCGCCAGCAGCGCGUACGCGUCCCUCCGCCUCCGCACCCCGCGGGAGGCCAUGGGCUUCUCCGACUUCCAGCUCCUUCCCAGGGACGGCGCCGGCCGCGACCCGCGCCGCUUCCCCGGCCACCGCGAGGUGCACUGCUACCUCCGGGACUUCUGCGCCGCGUUCGGGCUCAUGGACGCCGUCAGGCUCAACACCCGGGUCGUCCGCGUCGCUCCGACGUCGACGGCGACGCGUCAGUGGGCGGUGAGGUCCGUGCGGCGCCUUGGCGGCCCGGAGGAUGGUGCGCGGGCAGAGGAGGAGGAGGAGGAGGCAGUGUUUGACGCGGUGGUCGUGGCCACCGGUCAGUACUCGCAUCCGGUGCUCCCCAGCGGCAUCGAGGGAGCGGGGGAAUGGAGGCGCCGGCAGCUGCACAGCCACUUGUACAGGACGCCGGAGCCGUUCCGCGGCGAGGCGGUGGUGGUGGUCGGCUGCGGGGACAGCGGCACGGACAUCGCGCUGGACCUCCGCCGCGUCGCCAGGGUGGUGCACCUCGCCGCCGGCUCCGAGGCCUCCACGCCGGCCGUGUCGAGGAUGGUGGCCAACCACGGCGACGUGCUACGCCUCCACCCGCGGGCACGCCGGCUGCACGCCGACGGUCGCGUGUCGUUCGACGACGGCUCCUCCGUCGUCGCCGACACGGUGAUCUACUGCACGGGGUACGGCUACUCGUUCCCGUUCCUGGACACGGGCGGGGCGGUCGCCGUGGGCGACGGCGGCUGCGUGGUCGGGCCGCUGUUCGAGCACGUGUUCCCGCCGUCCCUGGCGCCGUCGCUCUCCUUCGUGGGCGUGCCGAGGAAGGUCCUGGUGCCGUGGUUCGUCGAGGCGCAGGCGAGGUGGGUCGCGCAGGCGCUGUCCGGCCGCCGCGCGCUGCCGCCGGAGGCGGAGAUGGUGCGGGCCGUGGAGGAGCACCUCCGCGCCAGGGAGGCCGCCGGCGUGCCGAGGAAACACGCCCACCACCACAUCAACGGCAUUGACAAAAUGAUCGAGUUCAUGGAGGAGCACGGCGGCCUGACGCCGAUGGAGGAGUGGAAGGAGGAGCUGCUCCUGUCGAGCGUGGCGAGCAUGUGCGACGACCUGGAGACCUUCCGCGACCGCGCCGACGACGGCGAGAGCGUCCGGAAGGGCCUGCAGGGAUGGCGCGGCGGCUUAGCUGCUCAGGCUCAACACGAAGCCAUGGAUGCUGCUGCUGAAGCUGAAGCUGAUGGGUUGGCCAUGGAUGAUUAA
Molecule: ribosomal RNA, 1476 nt
Filed under: Triticum aestivum (bread wheat)
Lineage: Eukaryota; Viridiplantae; Streptophyta; Magnoliopsida; Poales; Poaceae
Description: partial small subunit ribosomal RNA
Source: RNAcentral